This 422-nucleotide long non-coding RNA is filed under the name Phoenix dactylifera (date palm). RNAcentral's name for it is "long non-coding RNA (PDAC_LNC019943)". Lineage: Eukaryota; Viridiplantae; Streptophyta; Magnoliopsida; Arecales; Arecaceae. The record is from RNAcentral.
GGCUUCUAGAAGAAGUUGGCCACUUAGGGUUUGCCCUUGGAGUCGACUACUCUCGUAAACCCCAAUGCCCGAUAAGUUCGGGUCUUAAUUUGAAAUACCAAUACAAUCUACUCUUUAUGCUAGUCUAUAUGAACCAACUAUGUCUGAUUCACUUGCUUAACUAAACUAAGUAUGAGUUUGUUGAGAACUCAAAAAAGAUGUGAGAAGGUCAGGGCGGACAAAUGUGGGACUUCAAAGUCAACUUGGAUCUUUAAUCUACCAUAUCUUAGGUAUACUAUAGUUAUAAUGAAGCAAGGCUGAAAAACCUCCCUAUGCAUAAAGAUGUAUAAUCGUGCUAGUCCCUGAAAGAUAGAGUGGAUAGAGAAGUCCCAUUUUAUGCAUUUAUCUUAGAUUGGUCAUUGGAAAAAAUUAUUAACAUGAAC